RNAcentral lists this ribosomal RNA (253 nucleotides) under uncultured bacterium. RNAcentral's name for it is "partial 16S ribosomal RNA". It matches the Rfam family "Bacterial small subunit ribosomal RNA", at positions 524 to 776 of the family's 1533-position model. The record is from RNAcentral.
UACGUAGGGUGCGAGCGUUAAUCGGAAUUACUGGGCGUAAAGCGUGCGUAGGCGGUCCGCGAAGUCUGAUGUGAAAGCCCCGGGCUCAACCUGGGAACUGCAUUGGAAACUAACGGGCUCGAGUGUGGCAGAGGGGGGUGGAAUUCCACGUGUAGCGGUGAAAUGCGUAGAGAUGUGGAGGAACACCGAUGGCGAAGGCAGCCCCCUGGGCUAACACUGACGCUCAGGCACGAAAGCGUGGGGAGCAAACAGG